Molecule: long non-coding RNA, 1056 nt
Filed under: Homo sapiens (human)
Lineage: Eukaryota; Metazoa; Chordata; Mammalia; Primates; Hominidae
Description: HSALNT0208613
Source: RNAcentral
GUUCCUUCAAGAGCAAGUGAAAGCUAGUGAAGAGGAAACAAACAGUACAGUUUAAAUCCCAUUAUAGAGGUAUUGAGAGGAUGCGUUGGGAGCAGGCAAGAAGAAUUACCAUGGGAAAAUCUGAGAAACAUUUUUAAGGGGAUGAAGAAUAGGAAAUUAUCGUAAGACACACUGGGAGAGAUACUGCUCAUGUCAAUUGGAAGAGCAACAUAAAAACAUGAAGAUGGCAACAAGGGGCUACUUCUGGGCAUCCUGUGAGUCAAGAUGCUGAGACAUACAGUUUCACUUAUUUUUGACAUCCUGAAGGCAACUGGAUGUUUCAAGUUCAGAUGAUGAGAAAGGUCUCCAUAAAGUGGUGUCUUUAAGAGUUGAUUGGGCUCCUUCCUCCUGAGUGGGUUUAAGUACCUAACAAAAGAGGCUUCAAGCAGUAUUCAGCUCUCUUGCCCUUCCGCUCUCUGCUAUGUGAAGACACAGUGUUCCUCCCCUCUCCCUUCUGGAAGACACAGCGACAAUGUGCCAUAUCGGAAGGAAGCAGAGAACAUCCCUCACCAAAUAAUCAAUCCUGCUGGUGCCUUAAUUAUGAACUUCUCAGCCUGCAGAACUCAUGAAGGCCAUCAUCGGAUGUGGGCUGAUUGAUCUUGGACUUCCAAGCCUCCAGAACUAGAACUACUCCACCAUCAUCUGAUGUGGUUCUGAUGGCUGUGUGUUUCUCAGCUUUAUCCUCAGCCUGUGGGUAAUUUAAAAUAAAUACUUUUGCAAGUGAACCAAUAGAAAUAUUUCACUGUCAUUGGGCAGAAAGCUAAAAACCUAAUUACGUUGGAAGUAGGAAGAGGAAGUAAGUAUGGUUGGAAGAGGUGGAGUCUGGUGCUGCCAGAGCAGAAAGCACAAAGAAGAACGUGCUUUUAGGUGGGUGCCCUAAGAGACAUGAUAAGUGAAAAAGGGAUAGUAAAAUAGAAGAUGACCAUUGAAACCAGACAAAUUCACCAUUUCCAAGCUGUGUGGCUUUGAACAACUCAUUUAGCCUAUCAACAUUUUUGUUUCCUCAUUUGUAAAAUG